UACGAAGGGGGCUAGCGUUGUUCGGAAUUACUGGGCGUAAAGCGCGCGCAGGCGGCUAUCCAAGUCAGUGGUGAAAGCCCGGAGCUCAACUCCGGAACUGCCAUUGAAACUGUUUAGCUGGAGUAUGAGAGAGGUGAGUGGAAUUCCCAGUGUAGAGGUGAAAUUCGUAGAUAUCGGGAGGAACACCUGUGGCGAAAGCGGCUCACUGGACCAUAACUGACGCUGAUGCACGAAAGCUGGGGGAGCAAACAGG
Molecule: ribosomal RNA, 253 nt
Filed under: uncultured bacterium
Lineage: Bacteria
Description: partial 16S ribosomal RNA
Rfam family: Bacterial small subunit ribosomal RNA
Source: RNAcentral